RNAcentral lists this transfer RNA (73 nucleotides) under Winogradskyella sp. PG-2. RNAcentral's name for it is "tRNA-Ala (TGC) (tRNA-Ala-TGC-2-1)". It matches the Rfam family "tRNA". Rfam says of the family: Transfer RNA (tRNA) molecules are approximately 80 nucleotides in length. Their secondary structure includes four short double-helical elements and three loops (D, anti-codon, and T loops). Further hydrogen bonds mediate the characteristic L-shaped molecular structure. tRNAs have two regions of fundamental functional importance: the anti-codon, which is responsible for specific mRNA codon recognition, and the 3' end, to which the tRNAs corresponding amino acid is attached (by aminoacyl-tRNA synthetases). tRNAs cope with the degeneracy of the genetic code in two manners: having more than one tRNA (with a specific anti-codon) for a particular amino acid; and 'wobble' base-pairing, i.e. permitting non-standard base-pairing at the 3rd anti-codon position. Lineage: Bacteria; Pseudomonadati; Bacteroidota; Flavobacteriia; Flavobacteriales; Flavobacteriaceae. The record is from Rfam by way of RNAcentral.
GGGGUUAUAGUUUAACAAGCCAAAACAGUGGAUUUGCAAUCCACAGAAUGGAGUGCAAGUCUCCGUAGCUCCA